RNAcentral lists this ribosomal RNA (358 nucleotides) under uncultured eukaryote. RNAcentral describes it as "LSU rRNA". It matches the Rfam family "Bacterial large subunit ribosomal RNA", at positions 2121 to 2478 of the family's 2925-position model. The record is from RNAcentral.
GUUUUGAUUUUAUUUGCGCAGCAUAGGUGGGAGACGUUGAGAUUAUUCUUACGGGAGUAGUGGAGUCAUUAGUGAGAUACCACUCUGAUAAAAUUGAACCUCUAACUUUAUACCGUUAGCCGGUUAAAAGACAGUUUCAGGUGGGCAGUUUGACUGGGGCGGUCGCCUCCUAAAAGGUAACGGAGGCGCACAAAGGUUUCCUCAGAUCGGUCAGAAAUCGAUCUUAGAGUGUAAAGGCAAAAGGAAGCUUGACUGUGAGACAAACAAGUUGAGCAGAGACGAAAGUCGGUCUUAGUGAUCUGACGCUGCUGUGUGGAAAGGGCGUCACUCAACGGAUAAAAGUUACUCUAGGGAUAAC